RNAcentral lists this long non-coding RNA (1139 nucleotides) under Zea mays. RNAcentral's name for it is "long non-coding RNA (ZMAY_LNC004895)". Lineage: Eukaryota; Viridiplantae; Streptophyta; Magnoliopsida; Poales; Poaceae. The record is from RNAcentral.
AAUGUAAUUGAACAAUCUGCAACCAAGACCCUGAGUUAGUGGCCAAUUUAGCCAUGUACAAAGCAUGCAAUUGUCAUCUGGGUGAAUAUUUUGAGAAUGCAUUUGCUAAAUAUGUUUGAAUUUUUAGAUGCACAGAUUUCCCCCACUUUCCAAAUGGCACGUCAGACAGUAAAAGAUUAUGCAAAAGAUGGAUACCAACUUGUCCUCAUGGUAGCCAAGAAUCUCAUAAUGUCCUCAUGGUAGCCAAGAAUCCCAUUAUGUCCUCAUGGUUGCCAAGAAUCCCAAUAUUGUGAAAACCAGUGAACCACGAUGAUUCAAACCACCACCGUUUAGGAUUGGCACAACCAAGGUUGAUGACAAAAUAUGCUCCACGUCAGGCAUCACCACUGACAAAAGUAUGAAAGCAAGAAAAAGGGAAGAGUUUCAUUCAGAAACUGAAUUUCUGGGCAGAGGCACAUGACUCCAUCAGUGGCAUGAAAGGCUCCAAGCAAAGUUGAAAGGAACUCCAAAGCACAGUAGACAAGAUCAACCAUUACGGAGGGUGUCCCAUAUGUUUAUAUGGCAUAAAUACGCAAAGAGGGCAUAUAAUAGUCCAAAAUGAUGUAGAUGCAUCGAUAGUGCAGCUAUCUCUAAGUAGUCCAUUCUGCAUUUUUUCACCUUGUUUCAGCAAUGGCAGAUUUCAGCUGAUGGCUACUUGAAACUGGUGCUUUAAAGGAGCAACCAACUUCUACUUUCUAUGCCCUCUUUGUUAGGUCGAAAACAUUUGUGGUAUAUCAUCUGUUCCUACCAUCAGGUAACAAAAGUAUUAAAAGAGUCCAUGCACAAAGUGAUGAUAUUUUUAGCUGCUAUAAAUUCUAAAAACGAAAAUUAUACAGUCAGACGAGUAGAUGCAUAGGUGAAAUUUGUAAAGAUAGGAUUGCAAACCUGUUGGUAGCAUCAAGGACCUGAAGCAUAUGUUUGUUGCUUGUGUGUUCAAGUUUGCUGCAGCAAGUCACCUACUAAUACCUUUAGAAAUGUUCCAGCUACAACUCGCAGCUCGAAAUAGUUGCAGCGACUUCCCAUUCUGUACGUUCACUCAUUCAUAAGGGACGGUACAUGAAGAACAAUAAAUGUAAUGCAGGGGGUGUGCAUUCUCUGAG